Camelus ferus (Wild Bactrian camel) is the source of this 75-nucleotide transfer RNA. It matches the Rfam family "tRNA". From Rfam's summary of the family: Transfer RNA (tRNA) molecules are approximately 80 nucleotides in length. Their secondary structure includes four short double-helical elements and three loops (D, anti-codon, and T loops). The record is from Rfam. Lineage: Eukaryota; Metazoa; Chordata; Mammalia; Artiodactyla; Camelidae.
GAGGGUAGAGCUCAGUGGUAGAGUGCAUGCUUAUUAGCCUACAUGGGGUCCUGGGUUCAAUCCCCAGUGCCUCCA